RNAcentral lists this ribosomal RNA (1544 nucleotides) under metagenome. Its description in RNAcentral is "bacterial LSU rRNA". It matches the Rfam family "Bacterial large subunit ribosomal RNA", at positions 937 to 2329 of the family's 2925-position model. The record is from RNAcentral.
GACCGAAAUCAGCCAAACUCCGAAUGCCGGUAAGUGAGAGCGCGGCAGUGAGACUGCGGGGGAUAAGCUCCGUAGUCGAGAGGGAAACAGCCCAGAUCACCAGCUAAGGCCCCUAAGCGAUUGCUAAGUGGAAAAGGAUGUGGAGUUGCCCAGACAACCAGGAGGUUGGCUUAGAAGCAGCCACCCUUGAAAGAGUGCGUAAUAGCUCACUGGUCAAGUGAUUCCGCGCCGACAAUGUAGCGGGGCUCAAGCAAUCCGCCGAAGCUGUGCAUUCAUAUUAGUACUCGGCACCGACUUGAUUGGUGUCCAGGUGUGUGGAUGGGUAGGGGAGCGUCGUGCAGCGUGUGAAGCAGCAGAGUGAUCUAGUUGUGGAUGCUGCACGAGUGAGAAUGCAGGCAUGAGUAGCGAAUGACGGGUGAGAAACCCGUCCGCCGAAUGAUCAAGGGUUCCAGGGUCAAGCUAAUCUGCCCUGGGUAAGUCGGGACCUAAGGCGAGGCCGACAGGCGUAGUCGAUGGACAACGGGUUGAUAUUCCCGUACCGGCAUUAACACGACCCGACCGAGGUCACUGAUGCUAAAACCGAGAAGCUAGGCGGCCUUCGGGCCAAGUAGUGGAUCUGUUGACCCGAGGUGGUAUUAGGUGCACUAAGGAGUGACGCAGGAGGGCAGUCCAUCCGCGGCGAUGGUAGGCGCAAGCUGAUCCGCGGGCAAGGUGGUAGGGCGAGGCAUAGGCAAAUCCGUGUCUCAUGAAGCCUGAGAACCGAGGCGGACCCGUUCAGGGGAAGUGGAUGAUCCCAUGCUGCCAAGAAAAACUUCGUAGUGAGUGUUAGAGCCGCCCGUACCCCAAACCGACACAGGUGAUCAGGUAGAGAAUACCAAGGCGAUCGAGUGAACCAUGGUUAAGGAACUCGGCAAAAUGCCCCCGUAACUUCGGGAGAAGGGGGGCCGGAUGCGUUACAUGGCUUGCCCAUGGAAGCGUUGAUGGCCGCAGAGACCAGGCCCAAGCGACUGUUUACUAAAAACACAGGUCCGUGCGAAGAAGUAAUUCGAUGUAUACGGACUGACGCCUGCCCGGUGCUGGAACGUUAAGGGGACAGGUUAGCUGGUUUAGGCCGGCGAAGCUUUGAACUUAAGCGCCAGUAAACGGCGGUGGUAACUAUAACCAUCCUAAGGUAGCGAAAUUCCUUGUCGGGUAAGUUCCGACCUGCACGAAUGGCGUAACGACUUGGGCGCUGUCUCAACCAUGGACUCGGCGAAAUUGCAUUACGAGUAAAGAUGCUCGUUACGCGCAGCAGGACGGAAAGACCCCGGGACCUUUACUACAACUUGGUAUUGGUGGUCGGUACAACUUGUGUAGGAUAGGUGGGAGACUGUGAAAUCCGGACGCCAGUUCGGGUGGAGUCAUCGUUGAAAUACCACUCUGGUUGUUCUGGCUGUCUAACUUCGGUCCAUUAUCUGGAUCAGGGACAGUGCCUGGUGGGUAGUUUGACUGGGGCGGUCGCCUCCUAAAAGGUAACGGAGGCGCUCAAAGGUUCCCUCAGCCAG